AAAAAGAGGGAGGGAGAUAUAAAGAGAGGGAGAGAGAUAUGAAGAGAGGGAGAGAGAUGAAGAGAGGGAGAGAGAUAUAAAGAGAGGGAGAGAGAUAUAAAGAGUGGGAGAGAGACAUAAAAAGAGGGAGAGAGAUAUAAGGAGAGGGACAGAGAUAUAAAGAGAGGGAGAGAAAGAUAAAGAGAGGGAGAGAGAUAUAAAGAGAGGGAGAGAGAUAUAAGGAGAGGGAGAGAGAUAUAAAGAGAGGGAGAGAGAUAUAAAGAGUGGGAGAGAGACAUAAAAAGAGGGAGAGAGAUAUAAGGAGAGGGACAGAGAUAUAAAGAGAGGGAGAGAAAGAUAAAGAGAGGGAGAGAGAUAUAAAGAGAGGGAGAGAGAGAUAAAGAGAUGGAGAUUUAAAGAGAGGGAGAGAGAGAUAAAGAGAGGGAGAUAUAAAGAGAGGGAGAGAGAGAUAAAGAGAGGGAGAUAUAAAGAGAGGGAGAUAAAGAGAAGGAGAGAGAUAUAAAGAGAGGGAGAGAGAUGAAGAGAGGGAGAUAUAAAGAGAGGGAGAGAAAGAUAAAGAGAGGGAGAGAGAUAUAAAGAGAUGGAGAGAGAGAUAAAGAGAGGGAGAUAUAAAGAGAGGGAGAGAGAGAUAAAGAGAGGGAGAUAUAAAGAGAGGGAGAGCGAGAUAAAGAGAGGGAGAUAUAAAGAGAGGGAGAUAUAAAGAGAAGGAGAGAGAGAUAAAGAGAGGGAGCUAUAAAGAGAGGGAGAUAAAGAGAAGGAGAGAGAUAUAAAGAGAGGGAGGGAGAUAUAAAGAGAGGGAGAGAGAUGAAGAGAGGGAGAUAAUAAGAGAGGGAUAGAGAUAUAAAGAGAGGGAGAGAGAUAUGAAGAGAGUGAGAGAGAUAUAAAGAGAGGGGGAGAGAUAUAAAGAGAGGGAGAUAGAUAAAGAGAGGGAGCUAUCAAGAGAGGGAGAUAAAGAGAAGGAGAGAGAUAUAAAGAGAGGGAGAGAGAUGAAGAGAGUGAGAGAGAUAUAAAGAGAGGGGGAGAGAUAUAAAGAGAGAGAGAUAUAUAAAGAGAGGGGGAUAUAAAGAGAGGGAGAGAGAUAUGUAGAGAGGGAGAGAGAGAAAGAGAGGGAGAGAGAGAUAAAGAGAGGGAGAUAUAAAGAGAGGGAGAUAUAAAGAGAGGGAGAGAGAUAUAAAGAGAGGGAGAUGUAAAGAGAGGGAGAGAGAUAUAAGGAGAGGGAGAGAGAUAUAAAGAGAGGGAGAGAGAUAUAAAGAGUGGGAGAGAGAGAUAAAGAGAGGGAGAGAGAUAUAAGGAGAGGGACAGAUAUAUAAAGAGAGGGAGAUAUAAAGAGAGGGAGAGAAAGAUAAAGAGAGGGAGAGAGAUAUAAAGAGAGGGAGAGAGAGAUAAAGAGAUAUAAAGAGAGGGAGAGAGAGAUAAAGAGAGGGAGAUAUAAAGAGAGGGAGAGAGAGAUAAAGAGAGGGAGAUAUAAAGAGAGGGAGAGAGAGAUAAAGAGAGGGAGAUAUAAAGAGAGGGCGAGAGAUAGACAGAGGGGGAGAUAUAAAGACAGUGUCACAUGUGCUCCCUCUCGGCCUCUAGGUCACCAGGCAGCUUGUUAUAGCACACACCUGUUACCAUCGUUACUUGUACCUCCGCGUCAUCAGACUCACCUGGACUCCAUCACUUCCCUGAUUAUCUUCCCUAUAUACAGUUGGGGAAGUCGGAAGUUUACAUACACUGAGGUUGGAGUCAUUAAAACUUGUUUUUCAACCACUCCACAAAUGUCUUGUUAACAAACUAUAGUUUUGGAAAGUCGGUUUGGACAUCUACUUUGUGCAUGACACAAGUAAUUUUUCCAACAAUUGUUUACAGACAGAUUAUUU
Molecule: long non-coding RNA, 1859 nt
Organism: Oncorhynchus tshawytscha (Chinook salmon)
Lineage: Eukaryota; Metazoa; Chordata; Actinopteri; Salmoniformes; Salmonidae
Source: Ensembl